Molecule: long non-coding RNA, 1907 nt
Organism: Leptidea sinapis
Lineage: Eukaryota; Metazoa; Arthropoda; Insecta; Lepidoptera; Pieridae
Exons: 2
Source: RefSeq, a predicted model, not a curated record
UCUCUGGAGGCAAUUUUAUUUUCUGUACAAUGCCAAACUGUUGAUGAAAAAUGCCAACUCCCACACACUUCUCAGGACCGGGUUUGGAAGAAUCACUAAAAACUAAAUGGCAAUGUUUCCAUCGGCUGUCACUGUCAAUAAUAUCCAUAAAUUUGGCAUUGGCAGAAGGAUCUUGUUUACAAACACCAAAGUCAAACAAAAUAGAUGGAUUUAAAAUUAAUGCAUCAUAGUUAACACAAAAUAUAGGAAGAAAUUGUGAUCUAUGUGUUGGACCUUGAAGAGCUAAGUAUUUUUGGAGACUAACAAUAAGGCAUGGCGGCGAUUUAUGAGCCCAGUACGAAUAAUCCAUACAUUCCAACAGAGACCGUAACUUAUAGUAAAGAGGAUGAGCAUAAACUUGAAAUGCUCUAAACAGGAACCUGUCACAAAGAAAUUGACGUCUGAGGUGCAGGGGGGCUUCAGAACAUUCCACCUGCAAAGCGUUAAUAGGGCUCGACCGCAUAGCUCCCGCAAUUAUUCUCAGAGCCUUAGACUGGAUAAUGUCUAACUUAUGGAGAGCUACUGCAUUACAGGGUUCAAGUAUAAAUGUUCCAUAGUCUAAAAUGCUUCUUAUUAGAGCAUUAUAUAGAAGCUUUAGAGAGAAAGGAUGGGCUCCCCACCAAACUCCAGAGAGACAACGCAGUAUGUUUAUAAUCUUCUCACAUUUGGCACUUAUAUAGUAGCAAUGAGGGCUUCCUGUAAGUCUUGAGUCUAAAAUUACCCCAAGAAAUGUUGCUUCACUUUUAGUGGGAAUUCUAAUGUUAUUAUAAAAUACAGAUACUGCUGGAGGAAGUCUCAUACGUGAGAAUAAGACUAUAAUACUUUUAGGAACCGAAAGGCUUAAAGUGUUAUUGUCAAGCCAGACUUUUAAUAACUUAAGGGAAUGUGUCAUAGUAUCAGACAUGUUGUCUACAGAAUCACCAGACACAUAGAGGAGUAAAUCAUCUGCAUAUUGGAGUGUGUUAACUUUACCCUUAAGGGAGGCUUCCAGAUCAUGAGAAUAUAUAUUGUAAAGUAAAGGACUUAAAACUGAGCCCUGAGGUAAACCUUUCCAGGCAAUACGGGAUUGAAUUGAAAGGUUGACAUUAUCAUAGGCUGCCGACACAUCUAAGAAUGCCGCUAACACAGACUUAUUGUAAGAAAAUGCCAAUCUUAAGUUUGUCAUAAAAAUACUGAGACUAUCCAUUGUACUCCUGCCUUUCCUAAAUCCAAACUGGUUUGGUGAUAGUAACCCCUUACUCUCAAUAAACCAUUCUAGUCUAGUUUUAAUUAAAUGUUCAGAAAUUUUGGACAUAACUGGAGCUAAUGCAAUUGGUCUGUAUGAUGAUGGAUCAUUAAUCGGUUUGUUGGGCUUGUGUAUUGGGAUAACUUCAUGGAUUUUCCAUGAUGGAGGAAUAUUACCUGAUGUUAAGAUUGAAUUAAUUAAACUGAGAAAAUAAGAAAGGCAGGAAUCAUUCAGGUUUUGAAAAAAGGAAUAUGGAAUUCCAUCACAACCAGGGGCUGAGUCCCUUAGUUUUGAAAGAACCCCUUUGAGUUCUGAAAGGCUAAAGGAAAUGAAUGAAUUGCUACUAUCAUGCUGGGGGAGGAGAGAAAGCUGUGAGUUAGAAGACAUAUUAUCUAUAGAUGGGACAAAUGGUGGAGCUAAUCUGUAAAGAAACAAAUCAACUGUACUGCUAUCCAUAAGAGGAGACCUUGGAGGUUUAAAAGAGGAUCUGAAUCUACGAAUAUUUUGCCAAACUUCAGAUGGAGAAAUGUCUGGUGAAAUUGAGGCACAAAAAGAUUUCCAGCCAUUGAAUCUUUUUUGUUUUAAUAAUUUACGUGUUUUAGUUAUAAUAUUACAAAGAACAUUAAAAUUUUGUGAUGUAGAA